This 858-nucleotide ribosomal RNA is filed under the name human vaginal metagenome. RNAcentral's name for it is "bacterial SSU rRNA". It matches the Rfam family "Bacterial small subunit ribosomal RNA", at positions 8 to 847 of the family's 1533-position model. The record is from RNAcentral.
AGAGUUUGAUCCUGGCUCAGGAUGAACGCUGGCGGCGUGCCUAAUACAUGCAAGUCGAGCGAACAGACGAGGAGCUUGCUCCUCUGACGUUAGCGGCGGACGGGUGAGUAACACGUGGAUAACCUACCUAUAAGACUGGGAUAACUUCGGGAAACCGGAGCUAAUACCGGAUAAUAUUUCGAACCGCAUGGUUCGAUAGUGAAAGAUGGCUUUGCUAUCACUUAUAGAUGGACCUGCGCCGUAUUAGCUAGUUGGUAAGGUAACGGCUUACCAAGGCAACGAUACGUAGCCGACCUGAGAGGGUGAUCGGCCACACUGGAACUGAGACACGGUCCAGACUCCUACGGGAGGCAGCAGUAGGGAAUCUUCCGCAAUGGGCGAAAGCCUGACGGAGCAACGCCGCGUGAGUGAUGAAGGUCUUCGGAUCGUAAAACUCUGUUAUUAGGGAAGAACAAACGUGUAAGUAACUGUGCACGUCUUGACGGUACCUAAUCAGAAAGCCACGGCUAACUACGUGCCAGCAGCCGCGGUAAUACGUAGGUGGCAAGCGUUAUCCGGAAUUAUUGGGCGUAAAGCGCGCGUAGGCGGUUUUUUAAGUCUGAUGUGAAAGCCCACGGCUCAACCGUGGAGGGUCAUUGGAAACUGGAAAACUUGAGUGCAGAAGAGGAAAGUGGAAUUCCAUGUGUAGCGGUGAAAUGCGCAGAGAUAUGGAGGAACACCAGUGGCGAAGGCGACUUUCUGGUCUGUAACUGACGCUGAUGUGCGAAAGCGUGGGGAUCAAACAGGAUUAGAUACCCUGGUAGUCCACGCCGUAAACGAUGAGUGCUAAGUGUUAGGGGGUUUCCGCCCCUUAGUGCU